This 800-nucleotide ribosomal RNA is filed under the name uncultured bacterium. Its description in RNAcentral is "bacterial SSU rRNA". It matches the Rfam family "Bacterial small subunit ribosomal RNA", at positions 8 to 798 of the family's 1533-position model. The record is from RNAcentral.
AGAGUUUGAUCCUGGCUCAGGUUGAACGCUGGCGGCAGGCCUAACACAUGCAAGUCGAACGGUAACAGGAAGCAGCUUGCUGCUUUGCUGACGAGUGGCGGACGGGUGAGUAAUGUCUGGGAAACUGCCCGAUGGAGGGGGAUAACUACUGGAAACGGUAGCUAAUACCGCAUAACGUCGCAAGACCAAAGAGGGGGACCUUAGGGCCUCUUGCCAUCGGAUGUGCCCAGAUGGGAUUAGCUAGUAGGUGGGGUAACGGCUCACCUAGGCGACGAUCCCUAGCUGGUCUGAGAGGAUGACCAGCCACACUGGAACUGAGACACGGUCCAGACUCCUACGGGAGGCAGCAGUGGGGAAUAUUGCACAAUGGGCGCAAGCCUGAUGCAGCCAUGCCGCGUGUAUGAAGAAGGCCUUCGGGUUGUAAAGUACUUUCAGCGGGGAGGAAGGGAGUAAAGUUAAUACCUUUGCUCAUUGACGUUACCCGCAGAAGAAGCACCGGCUAACUCCGUGCCAGCAGCCGCGGUAAUACGGAGGGUGCAAGCGUUAAUCGGAAUUACUGGGCGUAAAGCGCACGCAGGCGGUUUGUUAAGUCAGAUGUGAAAUCCCCGGGCUCAACCUGGGAACUGCAUCUGAUACUGGCAAGCUUGAGUCUCGUAGAGGGGGGUAGAAUUCCAGGUGUAGCGGUGAAAUGCGUAGAGAUCUGGAGGAAUACCGGUGGCGAAGGCGGCCCCCUGGACGAAGACUGACGCUCAGGUGCGAAAGCGUGGGGAGCAACAGGAUUAGAUACCCUGGUAGUCCAC